UACCCACUCCCAGCACGGGGAGGUAGUGACGAAAAAUAACAAUACAAGACUCACAUCCGAGGCCUUGUAAUUGGAAUGAGUACACUUUAAAUCCUUUAACAAGGAUCAAUUGGAGGGCAAGUCUGGUGCCAGCAGCCGCGGUAAUUCCAGCUCCAAUAGCGUAUAUUAAAGUUGUUGCGGUUAAAACGUUCGUAGUUGAACUUGUGUUUCGCACGGGCAGUACCUAGGACUAGGCAACUAGGACGGUACCUUGUCUUACUUUUCAAUUCUUUCAGGGUUGAAAAAUGUGCGUGAACGUAUUAUCGGCGUGUUCGUUCUUGUAACGUUCACAUAAGCUCAUUUCAGUGCUCUUAAACGAGUGUUGUUGUGGGCCGAUACAAAUUACUUUGAACAAAUUAGAGUGCUUAAAGCAGGCUUGUAAUGCCUGAAUAUUUUGUGCAUGGAAUAAUGAAAUAGGACAUCUGUUCUACUUUCAUUGGUUUUUUAGACCAAGAUGUAAUGAUUAAUGGAAGCAGUUGGGGGCAUUAGUAUUACAACGCGAGAGGUGAAAUUCUUAGACCGUUGUAAGACUGACUAAAGCGAAAGCAUUUGCCAAAGAUGUUUUCAUUUAAUCAAGAACGAAAGUUAGAGGUUCGAAGGCGAUCAGAUACCGCCCUAGUUCUAACCAUAAACGAUGCCAGCUAGCAAUUGAGUGUAGCUACUACUAUGGCUCUUUCAGUCGCUUCUCGGGAAACCAAAGCUUUUGGGCUCCGGGGGAAGUAUGGUUGCAAAGCUGAAACUUAAAGGAAUUGACGGAAGGGCACCACCAGGAGUGGAGCCUGCGGCUUAAUUUGACUCAACACGGGAAAACUUACCAGGUCCGAACAUAAAUGAGUAAGACAG
This 882-nucleotide ribosomal RNA is filed under the name Syntemna stylata. RNAcentral describes it as "SSU rRNA". It matches the Rfam family "Eukaryotic small subunit ribosomal RNA", at positions 442 to 1246 of the family's 1831-position model. Lineage: Eukaryota; Metazoa; Arthropoda; Insecta; Diptera; Mycetophilidae. The record is from RNAcentral.